RNAcentral lists this transfer RNA (40 nucleotides) under Orobanche colorata. RNAcentral's name for it is "partial tRNA-Phe". The record is from RNAcentral. Lineage: Eukaryota; Viridiplantae; Streptophyta; Magnoliopsida; Lamiales; Orobanchaceae.
GUCGGGAUAGCUCAGCUGGUAGAGCGGAGACUGAAAUCUC